Molecule: long non-coding RNA, 1083 nt
Organism: Ctenopharyngodon idella (grass carp)
Lineage: Eukaryota; Metazoa; Chordata; Actinopteri; Cypriniformes; Xenocyprididae
Exons: 3
Source: RefSeq, a predicted model, not a curated record
UGGUUCCACUGGAACAUAUAGUAGCAAUAUCUUAUUUACAUUUUGUAUCAAAGGAGCGGAUAUCACAUUUUUCCCUUUGUUUCCUGUGGUUUUUUUUAGAUAGCGCAGGACUUUCAGGUGCUGUAUGGUGAGGCUGCACCUAAAUUAUUUGAGACCUGGAUCCCUGAAUAUGCUGAAAAGGUCCUGUACUUGGCCAAGCAGGACAAUAAACUCCCUUCACUUUCUGUUGAGGACAUGACACUGGAUGCCAAAGGGGAACUAGCGCUAACACUGCUACCCACCAUGGUGCCACAGGCCGUCUACAGGGUUGGGAAGAAGACUAUCCGGCACUCCAUUGAAGAGUCCCGGACAGCGUUCAUACACCAAAUGCCUGUUGUAACAAAUAUGGUGGAAUACCUCCUGCAAUCGUAGCCAUUCCCCUCUGUCCUGGCGCUGGGAGAUCCCCAGCAAUGUGCUUCUCAGGCAUUUGUGAUAUUGGCUGGUCAGGCACUCCCUCAGAGCACACUGCUUGGGGCAGUUGACAUGUGCUUCAAGGCAUUUUAUGUUCUUGAUAUCAACUACCCCAAGCAGUGUGCUCCCGCAUGGGAGUUUCUGCAGCAAGUUGUGUAUCAGAUUGAGAAAUCUGAAUCAAAACCUGUCAAAUUUCUUAAGACUGCCUUGCUUAAUUGCAGAACUGUUUAAUUGUGUUAAGCUGCAGUAAAUGACACAACCAAUGUUUGAAGACUUUAAGCCUCAAGUUCAAUCCAGUUAUUGAAUGUUGUCAGAUGUUUGAGAGAGAAUGAGUUGUUUAUUUUUCUAUUUUUUCUAAUGUCUAAUGUUAUUACAGUGUGACCUAAAAUGAAUAGGUCCAAGUGUGUGUUUUUUAUAUAGAGUUUAAUUUAAUUUAAUGCAAUAAAAAUGUAAAAGUGCUUGAAGUGUGUAAGUGCCUGAAGUUUUAUUUUCUGAAAUAAGGCAUACUGGCAUAGUAACCCAAGUUAGGUUAUUUUUGACCUUUGACCUUUGGUUAAAAAGGGACCUACUAAUUUCUGGGUUAUUUCAACCCAGAUAUUGGGGUUGUUCUUUUGACCCAGAAGUUGGGUUAUA